CCCCAGUAAACGGCGGCCGUAACUAUAACGGUCCUAAGGUAGCGAAAUUCCUUGUCGGGUAAGUUCCGACCUGCACGAAUGGCGUAAUGAUGGCCAGGCUGUCUCCACCCGAGACUCAGUGAAAUUGAACUCGCUGUGAAGAUGCAGUGUACCCGCGGCAAGACGGAAAGACCCCGUGAACCUUUACUAUAGCUUGACACUGAACAUUGAGCCUUGAUGUGUAGGAUAGGUGGGAGGCUUUGAAGUGUGGACGCCAGUCUGCAUGGAGCCAACCUUGAAAUACCACCCUUUAACGUUUGAUGUUCUAACCUAGGCCCAUAAACUGGGUCGGGGACCGUGUCUGGUGGGUAGUUUGACUGGGGCGGUCUCCUCCUAAAGAGUAACGGAGGAGCACGAAGGUUGGCUAAGCAUGGUCGGACAUCAUGCGGUUAGUGCAAAGGCAUAAGCCAGCUUGACUGCGAGAGUGACGGCUCGAGCAGGUACGAAAGUAGGUCUUAGUGAUCCGGUGGUUCUGAAUGGAAGGGCCAUCGCUCAACGGAUAAAAGGUACUCCGGGGAUAACAGGCUGAUACCGCCCAAGAGUUCAUAUCGACGGCGGUGUUUGGCACCUCGAUGUCGGCUCAUCACAUCCUGGGGCUGAAGUAGGUCCCAAGGGUAUGGCUGUUCGCCAUUUAAAGUGGUACGCGAGCUGGGUUUAGAACGUCGUGAGACAGUUCGGUCCCUAUCUGCCGUGGGCGUUGGAAGAUUGAGAGGGGUUGCUCCUAGUACGAGAGGACCGGAGUGAACGCACCACUGGUGUUCGGGUUGUCAUGCCAAUGGCAUUGCCCGGUAGCUAAGUGCGGAAGAGAUAACCGCUGAAAGCAUCUAAGCGGGAAACUUGCCUCGAGAUGAGUCUUCCCUGUCGCUUUAAGCGACCUAAAGGAACGUUUAAGACUAAGACGUUGAUAGGCUGGGUGUGUAAGCGUAGCGAUACGUUGAGCUAACCAGUACUAAUGAACCGUGAG
Molecule: ribosomal RNA, 1003 nt
Filed under: Proteus mirabilis
Lineage: Bacteria; Pseudomonadati; Pseudomonadota; Gammaproteobacteria; Enterobacterales; Morganellaceae
Description: partial 23S ribosomal RNA
Rfam family: Bacterial large subunit ribosomal RNA
Source: RNAcentral